Long non-coding RNA from Maylandia zebra (zebra mbuna), 690 nucleotides. RefSeq lists it as uncharacterized. The record is from RefSeq and is a predicted model, not a curated record. Lineage: Eukaryota; Metazoa; Chordata; Actinopteri; Cichliformes; Cichlidae.
UACCACAGGUUAAUACACGCUACUGAUCCCUGAUGGGAGAAUCAUCAAUUUUGGCAACAAAGAAGCCUGGUGGAUGUUUGUUUACAGUCUGAUGGUGGGACAUCAUGCUCUGCAUCUUCAAAGUUUGCCUCCUCAUUAUUAUUCAUACCCAGUAAUGUGAAGUAUGCUUAUAUCUACUAUAACUGAACAAACGCGGUGGUCUUCAUUUAUGGAGGCUGUUGAGUCUGAAUGUUGGAUGUUGUGUAUCUCGUGUUCUCUGGGUUUUGUUGUCCUCAGUCUUUUCGCAGGAUCAGAAAACAAAACCAGGAGGUGCGUAAAUGUUUCUUCUCCAUGAUGUUUCUUCAAAUGUUUCUUCUGGAUGAUGACACGGGAUGCCACCUUUGGUCUUGUGAUGAAGCAAAGCUCAGGAAGAAGUGUGAUUAAAUGGUACACACAUGUUGAGAAGGAUGUACAGGGGCACCUGCAGCCAAAUCCAAGCUUCAGAGCAGAGCAGCAGUUUGUGCUCACAGAUGGUGACGGUGUGGAGAGACGGUGGUGUUUCCUCAGAAGAGAGUCACAAAGGACACCAGUCCAUCUCACCACCUUGACUUGCUGACUGAUGUUUGUCUGCACUGCACAGAGUAAAUCAACUGACCGAGGAGUGUUUCUGAGUGAGGGAGAGAGGAGUCAUCAUCCAGUUUAAGUGACGUA